Molecule: ribosomal RNA, 1044 nt
Filed under: Triticum aestivum (bread wheat)
Lineage: Eukaryota; Viridiplantae; Streptophyta; Magnoliopsida; Poales; Poaceae
Description: partial small subunit ribosomal RNA
Source: RNAcentral
AUGCUUCCCAUGGUCGACGACCCCUCCGCUGCCGGCGCCGCUGCGUCCUCCUCCUUCCCUGACGCCGACGCCUAUGGCAACGGGGACUCUGAAGACAUCGACUUCCCAGUCGAUCCAAUUCCCAACCCUCCCUUCUCCUCUGCUCCCGUCGCCGCCCCCGCCUCCGCCACGGCCACGGUCGGGGAGCGGCGGCCCCUGUUCCAGCGGCUAUGGACGGAGGAGGAUGAGAUCGUGAUCCUACGCGCGUUCGCCGAGUUUACGGCGCAGCGGGGUACGGCGUUCGCGUCCCACCAGUACGACACGGAGCCCUUCUACGAGGAGAUGCGCCGCCGCCUCCAGCUCGAUUUCUCCAAGAGCCAGCUCGCCGAGAAGCUUCGCCGCCUUAAGCGCAAGUACCGCAACUGCGUCGAGCGCCUCCGUUGCUCCGGCAACACGUUCUCCUUCCGCUCCCCUCACGAGCAGGCCGUCUUCGAGAUCGCUCGCAACAUCUGGCGCCCCUCCUCCGACAAGCACGGCCGCGACCCCAACGCCGCUGACUCUGAAGACGACGCCACAAUCACCGCCACGAAUGCCGCAGCCAACGGAGACGCCAAGUCCCCGUCCUCCUCAAAGGCGCAUCGCCGCGGCCGCCGCAGGCGCACGGCUGACUUGGCUGCCGAUGCAUCCGAGGCGCCCCAGCCGUACACGUCGGGGCCCAUGCCUGUCAAGACGGAGGACUCGCUGCCGGCAUUCUUUCCUCAUGUCUCCAUGGACGGUGCUGAGCCUGUUGUGGCGCCAGUGGUGAACACGGAGAGCAGCGUCCUGACGCCUCUGUUCAAGGAAAUGGUCCGUGCCAUGCUAGGCAUCGGCGGCUGCCCGUCACCGCUGGGCCUGGGAGCGAAGGUGCCGGAGCAACCGUCUGCAAUUCUCGGGAUACCCAUGGAUGGGGAGAAGUGGAGGCAGCAGAGGAUUCUGGAGCUGGAGGUGUACCUGCGGCGGAUCGACCUGCUGCAGGACGAGGUGAAGUCGGCACUGGAGGAGCUAAAAUCCACGCCGCCAACCUGA